GCCUGGGUGGCUUAGUCGGUUAAGCGUCUGGCUUCAGCUCAGGUCAUGAUCUUGUGGUUUGUGAGUUUGAGCCCUGUCUCGGGCU
Felis catus (domestic cat) is the source of this 85-nucleotide transfer RNA. It matches the Rfam family "tRNA". Rfam says of the family: Transfer RNA (tRNA) molecules are approximately 80 nucleotides in length. Their secondary structure includes four short double-helical elements and three loops (D, anti-codon, and T loops). Further hydrogen bonds mediate the characteristic L-shaped molecular structure. tRNAs have two regions of fundamental functional importance: the anti-codon, which is responsible for specific mRNA codon recognition, and the 3' end, to which the tRNAs corresponding amino acid is attached (by aminoacyl-tRNA synthetases). tRNAs cope with the degeneracy of the genetic code in two manners: having more than one tRNA (with a specific anti-codon) for a particular amino acid; and 'wobble' base-pairing, i.e. permitting non-standard base-pairing at the 3rd anti-codon position. The record is from Rfam. Lineage: Eukaryota; Metazoa; Chordata; Mammalia; Carnivora; Felidae.